AUUGAACGCUGGCGGCAGGCUUAACACAUGCAAGUCGAGCGGGGGAAGGUAGCUUGCUACCGGACCUAGCGGCGGACGGGUGAGUAAUGCUUAGGAAUCCGCCUAUUAGUGGGGGACAACAUCUCGAAAGGGAUGCUAAUACCGCAUACGUCCUACGGGAGAAAGCAGGGGAUCUUCGGACCUUGCGCUAAUAGAUGAGCCUAAGUCGGAUUAGCUAGUUGGUGGGGUAAAGGCCUACCAAGGCGACGAUCUGUAGCGGGUCUGAGAGGAUGAUCCGCCACACUGGACUGAGACACGGCCCAGACUCCUACGGGAGGCAGCAGUGGGGAAUAUUGGACAAUGGGGGGAACCCUGAUCCAGCCAUGCCGCGUGUGUGAAGAAGGCCUUAUGGUUGUAAAGCACUUUAAGCGAGGAGGAGGCUACUCUAGUUAAUACCUAGGGAUAGUGGACGUUACUCGCAGAAUAAGCACCGGCUAACUCUGUGCCAGCAGCCGCGGUAA
This 500-nucleotide ribosomal RNA is filed under the name uncultured bacterium. RNAcentral's name for it is "partial 16S ribosomal RNA". It matches the Rfam family "Bacterial small subunit ribosomal RNA", at positions 30 to 523 of the family's 1533-position model. The record is from RNAcentral.